GUGGCUAUAGCUCAGGUGGUAGAGCAUCGCGUUGUGGUCGCGAGGGUCGCGGGUUCAAGUCCCGUUAGCCACC
RNAcentral lists this transfer RNA (73 nucleotides) under Demequina sp. RNAcentral's name for it is "tRNA-His". It matches the Rfam family "tRNA". Rfam says of the family: Transfer RNA (tRNA) molecules are approximately 80 nucleotides in length. Their secondary structure includes four short double-helical elements and three loops (D, anti-codon, and T loops). Further hydrogen bonds mediate the characteristic L-shaped molecular structure. tRNAs have two regions of fundamental functional importance: the anti-codon, which is responsible for specific mRNA codon recognition, and the 3' end, to which the tRNAs corresponding amino acid is attached (by aminoacyl-tRNA synthetases). tRNAs cope with the degeneracy of the genetic code in two manners: having more than one tRNA (with a specific anti-codon) for a particular amino acid; and 'wobble' base-pairing, i.e. permitting non-standard base-pairing at the 3rd anti-codon position. Lineage: Bacteria; Bacillati; Actinomycetota; Actinomycetes; Micrococcales; Demequinaceae. The record is from RNAcentral. RNAcentral also lists the same sequence under 2 other names.